Molecule: long non-coding RNA, 1405 nt
Filed under: Oryctolagus cuniculus (rabbit)
Lineage: Eukaryota; Metazoa; Chordata; Mammalia; Lagomorpha; Leporidae
Description: lncRNA (ENSOCUG00000036691.1)
Source: RNAcentral
ACUCACUGGAAAGCGCCUGGCUCUUUUUCCCUUCCCGAGGCUACUCUGCAGACAAGACUAGGGCAGGGCUACUGCCAGCAGGUGCUCCGCUGAGCCCCAGUGUCCUCAUCGUGAGGGAGGGAGCGACCCGAGGCCCAGGCAGGAUCGGGGCAUCAGAAGCCAAGAGAGUAGGAAGCAAAGCCGGCUCGCCAGGGCUCUAUUGCCCUCACACAGUAAGAACUCUGGACACUUGCUAGUUCUGCUCUGCUACUGGUAAUGCCAACUUGGACUGGGCUCUCCGAGCUUUCUGUCUCCGCCAUCUUGCCUCGUGGUGGUAAGAUGGUGGCCUCAGCGCCGUGGGAAAUGCGAGGGUCUCCUAGGAAACCCCCUGUUGUGGUGUCUCAUUGGCCAGAGGCAGGUCACAUGACUAUCCUGGCAGCAAAGGAUGCUGGGAAUGGAACGCCUGCCCCUGUUUAUCCAGCGUCUACCGCAGAGCCAGGUGAGGUGGUGGGCGUGUGGGGGUGGGAGCGGGCCUGGGGUCGCCCGCGGGAGCCGCAGCCAGGGGGGAAAGUCACGGUCUUGAGACGCCGGUGCCAAGGGCAGAGAAAUGCUUACUCAAUAAGCAGUUAGAUUGAUUUGCUUUGACAUUCUGGGCCUGAAACCAGAGAUGCAGAGAUAAAAGCCACUCCCUGGCCGACCAGAGUGAGGGGGAGAAUAAUAAUAGUAAUAAUAGCAAUACGGAAGCCAAAACUCAGCGAGCACGUACCCUGUGCCAGGCGCUGGGCACUUUCCAGACUUGAUUUAUUGCAUGCCCACGGAACUCCAAAUGACAGUGCCGGGGAGGAAGCUGGGGCCCACGGAGCCCGGGCCUGUGCCCCAGGCUGACUGCAGUGGGCUGGAUGCCAGAGCCCCGCAGCGGGCAAGGGCGUCGGCUUCUCUGGGGAGGAAGUGGGAGGCCCCCCAGAGGCAGGGAGACUUAAGUAGGGUCCAGAAGCAGGCAUCGGAGUUCCCCAGCCAGACAUGGCCCGCCAGGUGCCCCAGGUUUCAAAUGGGAUUCGAAGAAAACUUUGAAUGUGACGUUCUCACACAUCCACAUUCGCGGGAAAAAUCGCCUCUCAAGACAGAAGCAAGAAUGCCAAGGUUGCCGGUUCAAGUCCCAACUGCUCCACUUCCGAUCCAGCUCUGCUGUGGCCUGGGAAAGCAGAGGAUGGCCCAAGUCCUUGGGUCCCUGCACCUGCGUGGGAGAACCAGCAGAAGCUCCUGGCUCCUGGCUUUGGAUCAGCUCAGCUCUGGCUGCUGCGGUCAUCUGGGGAGUGAAGCAGCAGAUGUAAGACCUCUUUUUCUCUCUGGCUCUACCUCUCUCUGUGACUCUGUCUUUCAAAUAAAAUAAAAUAAAUAAAAAAAAAAGAAUGCUGAGGUUAAGAGC